GAAAAAUUGUGUUGUAUCUCUUUCCUCUCCACGUCUCCCCCUCUCUCUCUAUAAUAUUUCAGCAAAUUGCUCCCCUCCGUUCGGCAGCCGUGUCACCAUCACAAAUUUUCCGGUGACUUUGCCGUGCCAUCCAACCUAAGCCAUGCCAUCCAACCUAGCCCAACUUGUAUCAAUUUUCAGAUUAUGAGUUUCAAGCUCAACAACCUCAGAAUUGUUGAGAAAUCGAGGCAAACCAGUUCCAUGUUCAAAUAGCAAAGGAAUUGACAAGGUCUUGGAGGAAAUGAAAAAGUAAUUGGAGUUUUGUUGACAUGCACGUGUAGCGUUAGUUGCCGAGCCAGAAAUUUUAAGAUUUAUUUGGUGGAGAAUAUGAUUUGCUCGACAGAUAGCUAAUAUACUAACGUUGAAGAGUAUAGUGGUAAGAGAUCUCGCUAGAUGACAGCUGCACGUGUCGAGUCACUGUCUCUUUUGUCGAGAAAGUUAAAGUGGUGUGUACCUGGCAUGUUUAGUUGAGGAUUUGUAGAUAAGUAUAGUUGUUAGUUUUCUUUGUUGUAGUGGGUUGCUAAUUAUGUAAAAGUGGGUGUCUGGUUAUAUGUCCAAAAAAAAAGUACACAGUAGAAAGAUUUAUUCGUAAUAAGAAGUUAAGCGUAUCGAAAUGUGACACCAAUUAUUCGGUUUAAUAAAUCGACUAAGGGGUGUUACAAAAAUUGACCA
This is a long non-coding RNA of Salvia hispanica, 711 nucleotides long. RefSeq lists it as uncharacterized. The record is from RefSeq and is a predicted model, not a curated record. NCBI's taxonomy places the organism in Eukaryota, Viridiplantae, Streptophyta, Magnoliopsida, Lamiales, Lamiaceae.